Molecule: long non-coding RNA, 291 nt
Filed under: Elaeis guineensis (African oil palm)
Lineage: Eukaryota; Viridiplantae; Streptophyta; Magnoliopsida; Arecales; Arecaceae
Description: long non-coding RNA (EGUI_LNC063817)
Source: RNAcentral
UGAUUAGCUUGUAGGAUACUCUUCUUUCAAUCUUCCACUUACACCAAAGUCAAUCGUCUUUGUAUUUCAAUCUCAUACAAUCAAGAUGGCGAUCAAAUAACUGCUAUGGUAUGAACUUAGUGAAUAGAUCUAUUAUAUUAUUUUUAGUAUUAACUCAUUCUAAGACAACAUCUUAUUUUUGUAUAAUUUUUUGAAUGAGAUGGAAACAUCUGAGGAUAUGCUUGGGUAUCUAAUGAGACCUAAAUUCUUUGACUUUAACAACGACCCCAGUAUCAUCACAAUAAACUGGCC